Molecule: transfer RNA, 91 nt
Filed under: Roseicella aerolata
Lineage: Bacteria; Pseudomonadati; Pseudomonadota; Alphaproteobacteria; Acetobacterales; Roseomonadaceae
Description: tRNA-Lys
Rfam family: tRNA (bases 10-80)
About the family: Transfer RNA (tRNA) molecules are approximately 80 nucleotides in length. Their secondary structure includes four short double-helical elements and three loops (D, anti-codon, and T loops).
Source: RNAcentral
GAGCAACGGAGCCAAGCGGAACCAAGCGGGACUGAGUGGCACGUGACUUUUAAUCUCGUGGCCGUGGGUUCGAGUCCCACCCGGCUCACCA